This 465-nucleotide ribosomal RNA is filed under the name Vreelandella stevensii. RNAcentral describes it as "partial 16S ribosomal RNA". It matches the Rfam family "Bacterial small subunit ribosomal RNA", at positions 338 to 795 of the family's 1533-position model. The record is from RNAcentral. Lineage: Bacteria; Pseudomonadati; Pseudomonadota; Gammaproteobacteria; Oceanospirillales; Halomonadaceae.
CCUACGGGCGGCAGCAGUGGGGAAUAUUGGACAAUGGGCGAAAGCCUGAUCCAGCCAUGCCGCGUGUGUGAAGAAGGCCUUCGGGUUGUAAAGCACUUUCAGUGGGGAAGAAAGCCUUGGGGCUAAUACCCUCGAGGAAGGACAUCACCCACAGAAGAAGCACCGGCUAACUCCGUGCCAGCAGCCGCGGUAAUACGGAGGGUGUGAGCGUUAAUCGGAAUUACUGGGCGUAAAGCGCGCGUAGGCGGUCUGAUAAGCCGGUUGUGAAAGCCCCGGGCUCAACCUGGGAACGGCAUCCGGAACUGUCAGGCUAGAGUGCAGGAGAGGAAGGUAGAAUUCCCGGUGUAGCGGUGAAAUGCGUAGAGAUCGGGAGGAAUACCAGUGGCGAAGGCGGCCUUCUGGACUGACACUGACGCUGAGGUGCGAAAGCGUGGGUAGCAAACAGGAUUAGAUACCCGAGUAGUC